CGAGAAAGUUUCUUCGGAAACGAGUAAAGUGGCGCAAGGGUGAGUAACACGUGAAUAAUCUGCCUUCGAAUUUGGGAUAACUUGGCGAAAGUUAAGCUAAUACCAGAUAAGACCACAUUUCGAGAGAAAUGCGGCCAAAGGAGCCUCAAGCUCCGUUUGAAGAUGAGUUCGCGGACCAUUAGCUAGUUGGUGAGAUAACAGCUCACCAAGGCGACGAUGGUUAGCCGGCCUGAGAGGGUGAUCGGCCACACUGGAACUGAGACACGGUCCAGACUCCUACGGGAGGCAGCAGUGGGGAAUUUUGCGCAAUGGGCGAAAGCCUGACGCAGCAACGCCGCGUGAGCGAUGAAGGCUUUAGGGUCGUAAAGCUCUGUCAAGUGGGAAGAAUCCAUGACGGUACCACUGAAGGAAGCCCCGGCUAAUUCCGUGCCAGCAGCCGCGGUAAUACGGGGGGGGCAAGCGUUGUUCGGAAUUAUUGGGCGUAAAGCGUGUGUAGGUGGUUGAAUAAGUCAGCCGUGUAAGCCCUCGGCUCAACCGGGGAAUUGCGUUUGAAACUAUUCA
RNAcentral lists this ribosomal RNA (561 nucleotides) under uncultured bacterium. Its description in RNAcentral is "bacterial SSU rRNA". It matches the Rfam family "Bacterial small subunit ribosomal RNA", at positions 67 to 639 of the family's 1533-position model. The record is from RNAcentral.